AUAGUGAUAUUAAGCAAAACCCAAAAAAGACAGUCUCAGUUCGGAUUGAAGGCUGAAAUUCGCCUUCAUGAAGCCGGAAUUGCUAGUAAUGGCAGGUCAGCAUACUGCCGUGAAUACGUUCCCGGGCCUUGUACACACCGCCCGUCACACCAUGAGAGUUGGGGAUACCCGAAGCCUGUGAGCUAACAGUAAUGAAGCAGCAGUCGAAGGUAGAAUCAAUGAUUGGGGUGAAGUCGUAACAAGGUAGC
Molecule: ribosomal RNA, 248 nt
Filed under: uncultured bacterium
Lineage: Bacteria
Description: partial 16S ribosomal RNA
Rfam family: Bacterial small subunit ribosomal RNA
Source: RNAcentral